CCAAGGAACUCUUCAGCCAGUGUACAGAGUGCUAUCUCAGAGAAAAUCCACAUUCAGGCUGUCGAUAACCACACUGCAGAGGGUGUACUCAACGGGAAGCCCUCUAAGUGGUCUCAUAAGCUAACCUCUUCCCGAGUGCCUGUCUAUCUCGACAGUGAGGAACAACUGUCCUGUUUGCCUAUCUGAGAGGAGUGCUGCAUAGGACACCAACACAACUGAGCUUCACAGAUGAAGUGCAGAGGCCAUCAUAUAUGCCCUGGCUGUCCUACGGAAUUUCUCAUUGCAGGAGGCUGAGCAGGUCUUCUUUUCUGGUCCGGAUUAUCAUUACAGGUCAGAGUAGAAUAUGAAUUAUUUUUGCACAAUGCCCAGUGCACCUUUUGUUACUGAUAUUUCUGUUAACCCAACAGUGAUUGUUCUCUGAUAACUAUUUCAGUGAAGUGGAAGAU
Molecule: long non-coding RNA, 446 nt
Organism: Sinocyclocheilus rhinocerous
Lineage: Eukaryota; Metazoa; Chordata; Actinopteri; Cypriniformes; Cyprinidae
Exons: 3
Source: RefSeq, a predicted model, not a curated record